This is a non-coding RNA of Paramuricea clavata, 426 nucleotides long. NCBI's taxonomy places the organism in Eukaryota, Metazoa, Cnidaria, Anthozoa, Malacalcyonacea, Plexauridae. The record is from the annotation of a GenBank genome assembly.
CACGAAAAUUAAAAUACUUUUAUUUCAUUAUAAUUUCUUUUCACCAUAAACCUAUACUUCUUUUCGUCUCUUCUCUGUAACGUGUAAACAUAAUGAAAAGUAUAGCAUAGAAGCAAAAUAAAAUUAGUGUUUCACAUUCCUCGUGCGUGCGCUGUGUGUUCAUUAUGACGUGUUCGAGACGGCAAGUUUCUUGAGAUGAUCCAUGAAGACUUGUAAGCUGACGUCAUCAGUCAACACAGGUGCACCACCUGCAUCCUGACCCCACGCAUACAUGUUGUUGUGUGUUUGAGAUGGGUUCACUUUUGAUAACAAGAAACGAGCCUAGAAAAUAAGAACAAUUAAUUAAUAUCAGUGACUGGUCUAGCGCCAUGAGCCAUGCGUGAUCUGGAAUUUUGGUCAGAUUUUGCUCGAAAAAAUAUUUUAUAU